UACGUAGGGUGCGAGCGUUGUCCGGAAUUAUUGGGCGUAAAGGGCUCGUAGGCGGUUUGUCGCGUCGGCUGUGAAAUCCCGAGGCUCAACCUCGGGUCUGCAGUCGAUACGGGCGGACUGGAGUUCGGCAGGGGAGACUGGAAUUCCUGGUGUAGCGGUGAAAUGCGCAGAUAUCAGGAGGAACACCGGUGGCGAAGGCGGGUCUCUGGGCCGAUACUGACGCUGAGGAGCGAAAGCGUGGGGAGCGAACAGG
Molecule: ribosomal RNA, 253 nt
Filed under: uncultured bacterium
Lineage: Bacteria
Description: partial 16S ribosomal RNA
Rfam family: Bacterial small subunit ribosomal RNA
Source: RNAcentral